CUGGCGGCGUGCCUAAUACAUGCAAGUCGAGCGAGCGGAACCAACAGAUUUACUUCGGUAAUGACGUUGGGAAAGCGAGCGGCGGAUGGGUGAGUAACACGUGGGGAACCUGCCCCUAAGUCUGGGAUACCAUUUGGAAACAGGUGCUAAUACCGGAUAAUAAAGCAGAUCGCAUGAUCAGCUUUUGAAAGGCGGCGUAAGCUGUCGCUAAGGGAUGGCCCCCGCGGUGCAUUAGCUAGUUGGUAAGGUAACGGCUUACCAAGGCGACGAUGCAUAGCCGAGUUGAGAGACUGAUCGGCCACAUUGGGACUGAGACACGGCCCAAACUCCUACGGGAGGCAGCAGUAGGGAAUCUUCCACAAUGGACGCAAGUCUGAUGGAGCAACGCCGCGUGAGUGAAGAAGGUUUUCGGAUCGUAAAGCUCUGUUGUUGGUGAAGAAGGAUAGAGGUAGUAACUGGCCUUUAUUUGACGGUAAUCAACCAGAAAGUCACGGCUAACUACGUG
RNAcentral lists this ribosomal RNA (505 nucleotides) under uncultured bacterium. RNAcentral's name for it is "bacterial SSU rRNA". It matches the Rfam family "Bacterial small subunit ribosomal RNA", at positions 36 to 507 of the family's 1533-position model. The record is from RNAcentral.